Molecule: RNA transcript, 1589 nt
Organism: Aegilops tauschii subsp. strangulata
Lineage: Eukaryota; Viridiplantae; Streptophyta; Magnoliopsida; Poales; Poaceae
Gene name: F-box/FBD/LRR-repeat protein At1g13570
Source: RefSeq, a predicted model, not a curated record
UGGAUGAUUUUGUAACUCCAUUUCCUUCUCCCCUGGUUCGAGCGAAGUGUGGGCUACAGGGCGGAGGGGCGAUGACAAUGGAGCCCUCGCCCCGCCGCGCUAGGGUUGGCGAGCCGGCGGCGGACCCGCUGACGUCCCUCCCGCCGCCCCUGCUCGACGGCAUCCUCACCCGCCUCGACCUCCCUUACGCGGUCCGUACCUCCGCCCUCUCUCGCGCCUGGCGCCGCCGGUGGGAGGCCCUCCCCUACCUCUGCCUCUCCUUCGUCGACAACCCCGGCACGGCCCCCUUGGCUGUCGACCGCGUUCUCGCUCGCUACCCCGGCCGCAUCUCCAACUUCUCCUUCCACGUCGACGAGCACUCCUUCGGCCGCGUCGAUGACUGGCUCGUCGCCCUCUGCGACCGCGGCGUCAGGUCCAUCAACCUCCGAUGCGCCUCCCCCUUCAUCCUCCACUCCUCCCUCUUCCUAUGCGCCCAACUCACGCACCUCAAGCUGCACCAAUGCGGCCUGCCGUCUCUCCCAGUGGGAUUCACUGGAUUCCCCAUGCUCAAGGUUCUAAAACUCGGCCUUGUCGAUUUCCCGGAGAACGGGGAGAGCCAACUGGAGGCGAUUCUUGUCGGGUCACCCUUGCUUGAAACCCUGAAUCUUCACUUUGUGGAUGUCCGUGGGAAUGACGCGUACUCAAACGCGUGGGUGAUUCGCGGGGCCAACCUCCGGAGCCUAACGAUAAGUUCUGACUUUGAUUAUGACUGGCAAGUUAAGGAGCUGCCAUGCAUCGAUGAAGUCGCCAUCGAUGUUGGAAACUAUGUGAGUAAUAUCAAGUUCAGAGGAUUUCUUGCCAGCUUUGCGCAAGUUAGGAAGCUCUCUCUCUGUGCGUGCUACACAUCGUUUACUGGAGGUGGUCUCCUGGAAACACUUCCAUGUACCUUUGACAACUUAAAGAGUUUGACCCUCUGGACACAUUUCUACGAAAUGCCUGCCAUAGUGUUAACCUUUUGCUUACUAAGGAAUGCUCCUAAUCUAGAAGAACUUGAAAUUACGAGUUCUAAAUACACAAUGGACUGAUGCCUUCUGUGCCAACCUUCAGGUUGUGAAAAUGAAAAAUAUUGGCUGGUUGCAAAAUGAAAUGUAUUUCAUAGAGCUCGUUUUAUCUAAAGCAGCAGUUCUUCGCACAAUGCAUCUUAGUCUUGGUUGCAGAAGAUCAAAGUCAAAUGAGGAUGCACUCUGUGAACUAAUGACAUAUAGAAGGGCUUCAACCCAUGCUCGAGUCUUCUUUGACGGUAAAAUGAAAUGAGCUGCUACAUAGAGACGUGUCUUCCAUGCAAUUCUGGGAAUGGGCGCUGAUUACGUUCAGAUGGCUCACUUGCGUAAGACGGUGUCUGUUUAUCCCUUGAUCUUCUCUAACUAUGUACCUUGGGCGGCUGGGCUGUUAAAGAUAUGUAUCCUGAAGAAAAUGGUUGUCGUCAUGAGCUACUUUACUGCUCCGUUUGGCGCAUAAUUAUGUCUUGUAUGACCUGCAAAACUCUCCUUAAGAGAGAACUCUUGCAAUGUGAUUUUCCAAUGAAAACUUGCUGUGCACCAUUAGUUUAA